This 1194-nucleotide unclassified non-coding RNA is filed under the name Hevea brasiliensis (rubber tree). The record is from RNAcentral. Lineage: Eukaryota; Viridiplantae; Streptophyta; Magnoliopsida; Malpighiales; Euphorbiaceae.
GGGGUGUGUGGGAGGGUUAACUUUGUGCAUGUGACAUGCAUGCACUACCUGAAAAGAUGACGAAGGCAACUUCUAAAAUGCUUCCUUCAAAGAAAAUAUAUACAACAAAAUUUCAGCGAAGACUAAUGGCAAUUUAACCCAAGAUGGUAAAUUAGUAUGGUCAUUCACAAGCUGGUUUAGUGUCAAAGCUACUCAAGCAGAUAGCAAAGGCUUGGAAUGCAGACAGUGGGUAGCGAUAGUCCAUGGUGAAGAUGUCCUUCCCAAUCUUCCCAAAUUGUAGAAUUACUUUUUCCUGUUCUUCUGCUGGCACAUUUUGGCCAGGCUCUACAGCUGCCACCAGCUGGAAAUUUUUCACAGAGGCCACUGUGACACGUCCUUUGAAAUUUAGACACCAGCACUGAAGCUGCUCAUGCCAUCUUGGGGAUUUAUUUUUCAAAAUCAAGGGAUCUUUUCUGCUGCAAAUAGAUUCGUUUGAUUCAGCAAGGCUAGUUGCGCUGAAUUCAAUGAGUGACUCCUUUGAUUUUGAAAUGGACGACGAUGAUGGAGUAGAUUGCUCGCCGUUAGAACUUAUGAAUUCUGUUGGAGUAGGGGCAGUUCCCCCUACUUCAAUUGAAGAGAAGGGAAUUGAAUGCAUGGUGCACUGCAUUCUCCUUGGGCCUCUGGUUCGGAGGACAUUGAGCUCAUAAGAAAUGGUGGCCACAUUGUAGUUUCUAGCACGUACCAGUGGAGAAACCUGAACUGAAUGGAUUUUUCUGCCUGCCUUACAGUUGGAUUGCAUCAUCGGGUGUGGAGGCUGACUAUCAUAAACGGUGAAUUUGGUUCCCAGGAAAUUAGACUUCAGUUUUCCAGCAUAGUUAUUGCUUGUUUGACAGAAAUCACUUCCAACGAAAGAUAUUCGAAAAUCAGUACUUGCUGCCCAUCUAAACUUCUUUGCUGCUAAUAACAAUUUAGUUGUAUCACCAGAGAGAGCAGGACUCAAACCAAGAUACAAGAGAUACGUCGAAGUUGCCCUAUCGCGGCGAAUAAAGCAUUGAAUGGGAGCAUCUCUUGGCCCAGGCUGCUUUAGCGAGAUGGGGAAAGUAAGACAGCCACAUUGCUCAGGGGUCUUAACAAUGUCUUUUGUGAUCUCCCUCCACGACUUGCAGACGGAGGCACAAGCAACAACAUCCCUCCGCGCAGGCCACGAGGUCUCAC